CGGCCCCGCCCACCGCCCACCCAGACCCAGCGCUCCCCUUGCCACCAAACCCGCGUGGCCCUCCGACGUCGGUCCGUCUCCGACCACGACUGGAAAAGGUCGGACCGCCACCGCGCGCACCGAUUCCUUCCCGGAAACCCAUCGCCGCCACCAGCUCCACGCCCCCUAUAUAAAUACCACACGAGCCCCCCAUGGUUUCCCCGCAUCGGAGGAUUUGAUUGACCUCUCCUCUCCUCUCCUCUCUUCCACCUCUCGUCGUCUGGGUAAGUCACAGGUACGGUAUUCGUAAUCAGUUACUUUUCGCUGUUCUUCGUCUGAUUGUAUUCCAGGCGAGCGUUUUGUCUCGGUCGUCGUGGUGCUCCUUCCGUCGAUGUCGAGUUCUUUAGUCCUGGUGGUUUCACCUCGUCUGUUCCGUUGAUAUUGGUACCGUGUUCUGAACCUUUGCUGCUUUGAUUUAGGGUCGCGGCUAAUCUAUUCUGCUUUGACUUCUGAUCUGAUUUAGGGAUCCAUCAUGCUCUGAUUGCGAUGUGAUUUAGGGCCGUGCCUUAUCAUUUACUAUUAUCAUGGUCAUGCUUGCUGAUUUGAUUUAAGGUUGUGAUGGGUAAUGGAGAUUAUAUUUGGCGGGAAUAACGAGUUCCGUUGGUAACUUGGUAUAGAUACGUGGAGCAGUUCGUUUGGUUUCAUUUCUGUUCGUUAUGGCGGGAGAUGUUUGACAUGAUCCGAAUGAGAGAUUGAAGGUUGUGGUUUCAGUUUUGAUUGUUCUGUUCAAUUCACGGUGAUUCAGUAAUGUUCUGCGCACAAAGUGCUUCAUAUUUUUGAGGCGAAAAACAGAGGGUUGGAGACAGUUCAAACAGUCAAAAAUCUGCAGUUCUUUUGCUUUUGAUCCCGUUCCCUCAUACUUAGUCAGACUCAAUAAGAAUUCUGGAUAUAUUUGCUUUCUCCUAGCAGCCUAUACAUGUCAGAUUAUAUAUGAAAAGGAUUGUGCUAUAUUACCAUGUUACGAAGGUAGAGCUGGGAUAUGUCUUUCUUGAACUGUGUGGACAUGCUCAUGGCGGAGGUGAUUCUUCAGUGGCUAUAUUUUGGUGUCAACUUUUGGUUGGUUUCAUUUCAAGAUUGCUAGGAAAAUCGGAGGUGCUUGUUGUGUUUGCAUUCUAGACGUAAUUUUCUUGGGAAGUACCUCAAACCAACAUGGAAGUUUUGCUUUUGAAGUGAUCUGUUUGAAGGUUCUUUCAAGUAGAGUGAAGAAACUCUUGGAUUGUGUCUGCAAAAUUAGUUUACUGCUGCUGUGUUUAUCUCGAGUGGUAUGUCAAGGUCUAUUCAGAUGCUGGUUACUGUGUGGGAUUCUACCAAUCCUUCUGAUCACUAGUUUGUGCGUUUGAUUUCUACAUGGAUAUUCGUUUGGGCUUCAGCCGGUUUCAUGCUCCAUCCGGUGUUGGAUUAGUCUUAGCCUGAUAAUUUAUUGUAAUCUGUAGCCAUGUUUUUAUGAUUAGUAUGUUCUAAUGCAAUUUAUGUUGUACACAAUUGUCAAUUAUGCAUCUGUUCUGUAGUUGCGUACUGUAACCGAUGUAAUUGUUGAAUGAUAUAUGGAUGCCAUAAUUUAGCCCUUCGUCUUUUUUGGUUUGGUGUAUAAAAGCUGUAACCAAAUAGCAACUGAAUUUCAUAGCUUGAUGUUCUUUUUUCCUGCAUAAGUUACAUUUCUAUUCAUUGUUCAUCCAUGCAAAUUCAGCUGAGAUUGUUGUGAACAUCCUGUUUUUGUAAUUCUCAUCAUCUCAAGUUAAUAAUGAUGACUUUUGACCUAACAUUUUGAACUUCGUUCCGUUAUCCUUCGUUAUGUUGUCUGUUCAUCCGUUUGAUCAGUUUAACUGUGAAAUAUGGUGCUUGUUGUGCUGUCCUUACGCACAAGAUUCAUUUUAAUUAUCACAUGGGGUGCUUGUAUUUAAUUUUGAUUUCACAUAUAUAUCAUUCAUGAGUAUCAUAUUAUGUUGCUAUUUUACGUAGUUUGGUAUUAAGCUUCAAGUUAAUCUCAUGUUAGUGUGAGGGUAGUACUGUGAGAUAAGUAUGUUAGUCCAUAUAGAGUUCUAUGUUUGCAUUAUUUGCAGUCUGCUUUUACUCUUGAGUUCCCAACCUAGUUAGUGUCAAUUAAGAUCUUAUUCUGUUCAUGGAACACCUUAUAUGAUCUGUAACAGUUUUUCAUUUUAAAUAGUUUCAGUUUUGAGCAAGUAUUCAAAGGCAAUAUUAUGUGAUAAGUGGCGUUUGGUCUAACCGGAGCUCUAUGCGUAUGUUGUUUACAAUUUAUUUUCACUCUUAUAGUUUCCAUCUUGUCAGCGAAUUAAGAUUCUAGUUCUGUUUUUAGAACUUGAUUAACAUGCAACAAUUUUAGGUUCUGAUUUAACUUCCCC
This 2399-nucleotide ribosomal RNA is filed under the name Triticum aestivum (bread wheat). RNAcentral's name for it is "partial small subunit ribosomal RNA". The record is from RNAcentral. Lineage: Eukaryota; Viridiplantae; Streptophyta; Magnoliopsida; Poales; Poaceae.